RNAcentral lists this unclassified non-coding RNA (348 nucleotides) under soil metagenome. Its description in RNAcentral is "partial contains 5.8S ribosomal RNA, internal transcribed spacer 2, and large subunit ribosomal RNA". The stretch from base 1 to 120 matches the Rfam family "5.8S ribosomal RNA", at positions 35 to 154 of the family's 154-position model. The record is from RNAcentral.
GAUGAAGAACGUAGCGAAAUGCGAUAAGUAAUGUGAAUUGCAGAAUUCAGUGAAUCAUCGAAUCUUUGAACGCACAUUGCGCCCGCCAGUAUUCUGGCGGGCAUGCCUGUCUGAGCGUCAUUUCAACCCUCAUGCCCCUAGGGCGUGGUGUUGGGGAUCGGCCAAAGCCCGCGAGGGACGGCCGGCCCCUAAAUCUAGUGGCGGACCCGUCGUGGCCUCCUCUGCGAAGUAGUGAUAUUCCGCAUCGGAGAGCGAUGAGCCCCUGCCGUUAAACCCCCAACUUUCCAAGGUUGACCUCAGAUCAGGUAGGAAUACCCGCUGAACUAAAGCAUAUCAAUAAGCGGAGGA